AGCAGUCGCCGCGGGAAUACGGAGGGGGCUAGCGUUGUUCGGAAUUACUGGGCGUAAAGCGCACGUAGGCGGCUUGGUAAGUUAGAGGUGAAAGCCCGGAGCUCAACUCCGGAAUUGCCUUUAAGACUGCCGAGCUAGUAGGUGAGAGAGGUAAGUGGAAUUCCGAGUGUAGAGGUGAAAUUCGUAGAUAUUCGGAAGAACACCAGUGGCGAAGGCGGCUUACUGGCUCAUUCUAGACGCUGAGGUGCGAAAGCGUGGGGAGCAAACAGGAUUAGAGACCCCAGUAGUCCCUGUCUCUUAUAC
RNAcentral lists this ribosomal RNA (303 nucleotides) under uncultured bacterium. RNAcentral's name for it is "partial 16S ribosomal RNA". It matches the Rfam family "Bacterial small subunit ribosomal RNA", at positions 507 to 807 of the family's 1533-position model. The record is from RNAcentral.